AUGGCCAAACGGGAAGUGAUACAAGUGAACUUCACGGUAGACCAGAUCCGGGCCAUCAUGGACAAGAAGGCCAACAUCCAUAACAUGUCUGUCAUUGCCCACGUGGAUCAUGAUAAGUCCACGCUGACAGACUCCCUGGUAUGCAAGGCAGGCAUCAUUGCAUCGGCCCGGGCUGGGGAAACAUGAUUCACUGACACCCGGAAGGAUGAGCAGGAGCGUUGUAUCACCAUCAAGUCAACUGCCAUCUCCCUUUUCUAUGAGCUUUCUGAAAAUGACUUGAACUUCAUUAAGUAGAGCAAGGAUGGCUCUGGUUUCCUCAUCAACCUCAUUGACUCUCCUGGGCAUGUAGACUUUUCCUCAGAGGUGACAGCUGCCCUCCGAGUCACUGAUGGCGCCUUGGUGGUGGUGGACUGUGUGUCAGGCGUGUGUGUACAGACAGAGACGGUGCUGAGGCAAGCCAUUGCUGAGUGCAUCAAGCCUGUACUGAUGAUGAACAAAAUGGACCAUGCUCUGCUUGAGCUGUAGCUGGAGCCUGAGGAACUCUACCAGACCUUCCAGCGUAUCAUGGAGAACGUGAAUGUCAUCAUCUCCACCUACGGGGAGGGCGAGAGUGGUCCCAUGGGCAACAUCAUGAUUGACCCUGUCCUUGGCACUGUGGGUUUUGGGUCUGGCCUCCAUGGUUGGGCCUUCACCCUGAAGCAGUUCGCAGAGAUGUACGUGGCCCAGUUUGCAGCCAAGGGCGAGGGCCAGCUUGUGCUAGCUGAGCGGGCCAGGAAAGUGGAGGACAUGAUGAAGAAGCUGUGGGGUGACCGGUACUUUGACCCAGCCAAUGGCAAAUUCAGCAAGUCAGCCACCAGCCCUGAUGGAAAGAAGCUUCCCCAGACGUUCUGUCAGCUCAUCUUAGAUCCCAUCUUCAAGGUAUUUCACGCAAUCAUGAAUUUCAAGAAAGAGGAGACAGCAAAACUGAUUGAAAAAUUGGACAUCAAGUUGGACAGUGAAGAUAAGGACAAAGAAGGCAAACCUCUGCUGAAGGCUGUGAUGCGCCCCUGACUGCCUGCCGGGGAUGCCCUGUUGCAGAUGAUCACCAUCCACCUGCCUUCCCCCAUGACAGCCCAGAAGUACCCUGUGAACUUCUGUACAAGGGGCCCCCAGAUGAUGAGGCUGCCAUGGGCAUUAAAAACUGUGACCCCAAAGGCCCCCUUAUGAUGUACAUUUCCAAAAUGGUGCCAACCUCUGACAGAGGUCGAUUUUAUGCCUUCGGACGUGUCUUCUGGGGCUGGUGUCUACUGGCCUGAAGGUCAGGAUCAUGGGGCCCAACUAUACCCCCAGGAAGAAGGAGGACCUCUACCUGAAGCCCAUCCAGAGAACAAUUCUGAUGAUGGGCCGCUACGUGGAGCCCAUAGAGGACGUGCCUUGCAGGAACAUUGUGGGCCUGGUGGGUGUUGACCAGUUCCUGGUGAAGACGGGCACCAUCACCACCUUUGAGCAUGCCCACAACAUGAGGGUGAUGAAGUUCAGUGUCAGUCCUGUUGUCAGGGUUGCCAUGGAAGCCAAGAACCCAGCUGACCUGCCUAAGCUGGUAGAGGGGCUGAAGCGCCUGGCCAAGUCUGACCCCAUGGUGCAGUGCAUCAUUAAGGAGUCUGGGGAGCAUAUUAUUGCGGGCACCAGUGAGCUGCACCUGGAAAUCUGCCUGAAGGACCUGGAGGAGGACCACGCCUGCAUCCCCAUCAAGAAAUCUGACCCAGUUGUCUCAUAUCGUGAGACAGUUAGCGAGGAGUCCAGAGUGCUCUGCCUCUCUAAGUCCCCCAACAAGCACAACCGGCUCUACAUGAAGGCUGGGCCCUUCCCUGAUGGUCUGGCUGAGGACAUCGACAAGGUAGAGGUGUCUGCCCAAACAUUCUCAGUGACAUCACCAAGGGCGUGCAGUACCUCAAUAAAAUCAAGGACAGCGUGGUGGCUGGCUUCCAGGGGGCCACCAAGGAGGGAGCACUGUGUGAAGAGAACAUGCGGGGUGUGCGCUUUGAUGUUCAUGAUGUGACAUUGCAUGCAGAUGCCAUCCACCGUGGGGGUGGACAGAUCAUCCCCACAGCCCGGCACUGCCUAUAUGCCAGUGUGCUGACUGCCCAGCCCCGGCUCAUGGAGCCCAUCUACCUUGUGGAAAUACAAUGUCCAGAACUAGUGGUUGGUGGCAUAUACGGUGUACUGAACAGGAAGUGGAGCCAUGUCUUCGAGGAGUCCCAGGUGGCUGGCACCCCCAUGUUUAUUGUUAAAGCCUACCUGCCCGUCAAUGAGUCCUUUGGUUUCACUGCCAACUUGAGGUCCAACACGGGUGGCCAGGCCUUCCCCCGGUGCGUGUUUGACAACUGGCAGAUCCUGCCCGGAGACCCCUUUGACCACACCAGUCACCCCAGCCAGGUUGUGGCAGAGACCCAUAAGUGCAAAGGCCUGAAGGAAGGCAUCCCAGCCCUGGACAACUUCCUGGACAAAUUGUAGGCUGCCCCUGCUGCAGUGCCCCCCCACUUGGGUGGGAUGGGCUCAGCACCCACACUCAGUUUGACCACAGCAACACGUCCUCAUUCUCAGACAACACCUCGAGACUAUCCCGACACAACACAGUGAUGCUCCACCUGAGAGGCUCUGGGCCAUCGCUCAACAUUAACACUUGAUGCUGUUUCUUUUGAUAUUUAUUUCCAGAUUGCAAGGGCAGCAGAAAUGCCCUCUUAUAAAGGACUGAUUUGGCCGGUGGGGCAGAGGGAGGAGGGAAUGGGACACUCAACUUUUUUUUUCCAUUUUUUCAGAGGGAAACUCAGAUGUCCAAAAAUUUGUAAAUGAACGCAUUAAGAGGUAUAUUUGGGCAAAUGGCCCAUAGUGGUUUUUUCCCCCAGAAAGGAGAAAGGAACAGCGGGUAGGUAAUUUCUAGAAGGCAGGGAGUCCUGUGUGGUGUGACCAUGAGCAACUCCAGCUGUGUUAGUGCCAUUGGAAUAAUACAUUUGAUACGGUGGUGA
Molecule: RNA transcript, 3005 nt
Organism: Nycticebus coucang (slow loris)
Lineage: Eukaryota; Metazoa; Chordata; Mammalia; Primates; Lorisidae
Gene name: elongation factor 2-like
Exons: 1
Source: RefSeq, a predicted model, not a curated record